RNAcentral lists this transfer RNA (73 nucleotides) under Microgenomates group bacterium ADurb.Bin219. RNAcentral describes it as "tRNA-Val". It matches the Rfam family "tRNA". From Rfam's summary of the family: Transfer RNA (tRNA) molecules are approximately 80 nucleotides in length. The record is from RNAcentral.
GAGCUCGUAGCUCAGUGGUAGAGCGUUCGGCUUACAUCCGAAAGGCCGGGGGUUCAAUCCCCUCCGGGCUCAC